This 1743-nucleotide long non-coding RNA is filed under the name Bemisia tabaci. RNAcentral describes it as "lncRNA ENSSSA3NGG009108". Lineage: Eukaryota; Metazoa; Arthropoda; Insecta; Hemiptera; Aleyrodidae. The record is from RNAcentral.
AUGCACGGGCAACAUCUCGCAGCACCUGAAUACAGUGAAGAGUGCUUUAGAAAGUAUCCUAAACUGCUCACAUUUUUCAAAGAAAUUUUUCUAAAUUGCCGUGAUGCAAAUGCUUUCUGCCGCAGCGAGUUCAUGAAGGUUUCCACUCUUCUAAUUCAGGCCAUCUCUGGGCUAAAAGAUAAGACCGUGAUAAAUAAUUCGGAAUGUAAUGAAGAUAAAUUACUCUUGGCAUUUUAUUAUGCUGUAGAUAAGUCUUUUAAGAUGUCAUUAAAUGCAUUAUGGCUUCUAUUCAAAUUUCCAGAACUGGAUUUAGUUUAUGAUGUAGUUUUUGGUGCAUGCAAGCUCAUUUUAAGGGUUUUGGUCACCACCUUGGGAAAUUUGCUUUACUGUAUUGAAUUCUUUUGUCAAACCGCUUGUCAGUUUCUCAAAGAGAAGGUUCUUGAAGUAAAGAAGAUAAUUUUUGAGGUUCAGGAGGCCUCCAGACAUGUUUUAGAUGCUGCACCCACAGAGACUGACAGUGAUUCUAAGUGCACUUGCGUUGAGACUGUCCGACUCUCUCCUCCAGGGUCUACCCCUAGUCCCAUGGCUUUGGUGACCGGUGAUUUAUACAAAUCAUCAUCCAUCGAUGCAACAACAGGAGAUCUAGUGGUUCAAACAGACGAAUCUAGUCAUUUUGUCAGACAUUUCAGAGAAGCCCCGUUGAUUGCUCCAGCCACCUCUUCUCACCAUAAAUCGGUACCUCUUUCAUCCGCUCUGUAUGAUGAUCAUGCCCCACAACUGACAAGCACUGAUAUCAGUGACAAGUCGAGUGUAAUUACUUCUGAAACCUUGAAUGUUCUUGAAUCUUGUGUUAUUGAAGCUCCAGACUCCACGGUUAGCGAUCCAACUAAAGAAAAGUUAUCACCAACAGAUGAAGAUGAUAUCGCUGUGGUCUAUACCAGCCCCAAUCCAGAACCUGAAAUCUUCCAAAGUGUAAAUAAUUUCCCUUUUGAUGUGUUGCCAACAUUUCUCCGUCAACGCCUUUUGAAAUUAAUCUGGGAACUAAAAGACUGCAUAGGCCACUUUUCAUUUCUUAAAGUAGGGUCGCUCAUCCAGUUCAUCUGCAGAAUUUGUGGGAGUGUGUUACAGUUGGAUGGCGUGGAAGAGCAUAUUCAUCAAGCUCAUAAAGGUAUAGGGAAAUCACCCAGCGUAGAUCCAUUGGACAAUAUCUUUAAGACCAACGAAUCGGAAAGGAUCAAAGAAACUGAUGGCCCCACAAGGAAAUCUAAGUUCGAAGUUGCACAAGCCUGUCCUAAGAAGAGCAUUUGUUUCUCCAUUAAAAAAAAAGAAUCAAAGAUUGUCCCAGUGUCAAUUAGCCCACAAGUUUUUUUUAGUGCAAAAAUGAAUAAGAAAUUUCCACAGCCAGUCAAAACAGACACUAACAAUAAGCACUCAAAAUUUCAAAAAGUCAGUGACAAAAAUUCGAGUACGCAAGCCUCUUUAGUAUUUAAAACUCCAAAUCCUGAAAGAGCUACUGAAACGGAAUCUGUAUCUGAUACUGCUGUAACUUCAUCUGAUGUAUUGUUUGAUAGUUCUAAACAGGAGCCAGGCAGAACUCAACCUAAAGUGUGUGGCAUUGCAGAGACUUUUUAUACAGACACUUUGAGUAUAAUGACUCUAAGAGAAAAAGAAGAAGAAGAGAUAUCUGUGAGUCUAAUCUCAAAAAGAAAGUAUGCGAUCCUACAAAUGAGAGCAAUUACAUAA